AUUGAACGCUGGCGGCAGGCUUAACACAUGCAAGUCGAGCGGGGUGAUGGUGCUUGCACUAUCACUUAGCGGCGGACGGGUGAGUAAUGCUUAGGAAUCUGCCUAUUAGUGGGGGACAAGAUCUCGAAAGGGAUGCUAAUACCGCCUACGUCCUACGGGAGAAAGCAGGGGAUCACUUGUGACCUUGCGCUAAUAGAUGAGCCUAAGUCGGAUUAGCUAGUUGGUGGGGUAAAGGCCUACCAAGGCGACGAUCUGUGGCGGGGCUGAGAGGAUGAUCCGCCACACUGGGACUGAGACACGGCCCAGACUCCUACGGGAGGCAGCAGUGGGGAAUAUUGGACAAUGGGGGGAACCCUGAUCCAGCCAUGCCGCGUGUGUGAAGAAGGCCUUAUGGUUGUAAAGCACUUUAAGCGAGGAGGAGGCUCUUUUGGUUAAUACCCAAGAUGAGUGUACGUUACUCGCAGAAUAAGCACCGGCUAACUCUGUGCCAGCCGCCGCUGUAA
RNAcentral lists this ribosomal RNA (503 nucleotides) under uncultured bacterium. RNAcentral describes it as "partial 16S ribosomal RNA". It matches the Rfam family "Bacterial small subunit ribosomal RNA", at positions 30 to 523 of the family's 1533-position model. The record is from RNAcentral.